AAAUGUGGGGCAUUACUUAAUGAGCGACCCUCGUAGUUAGGUAGUUCUUUAGGUAUCUUCCAGUUAGGUCAUGCCGUUAUGAUUUCCUCAGUUUGAGGACAAGCGGCUAAGAGGAGCAACUGAAGCUGAAAUUUCUCGUCACAACAGAUCUACGCGUGUCUUCUGGCUUGUAUCUGACACGAUAGCCCUGGUGACCACUGACAAGAGGCAACAGUCAUACCGGUUGUAUGGGCUACGCAACCGGGUGUAUGAGAAUGAAGUUCAUCUGUCGGCAGACCACUCUGUUUUCAGGAAUUCCGGAGAUCGCUGUGAAAGUGGGCGGGCAUUCACAUCUCUUGUCAGCAGACGCUGGUGACUCUAGCGUCUGCUGAAGGUUCCUCACUAACGAUUUUAUGCCACCUCUUCCCCAAUCAUCAAAUCAUCACUCAAAAUCAUACUUGGCUGCCACAGAUAUAGGGGAGACCAGGGCAUGUGGAAGGGGCAGUAAUAAAGAAAGCAUUAUUAACAGCGCCAGCCAAGCCGGAAAUAAGCUUCAGGCUUCGGGAGGAACCGAGCAAGUUAGAUCAUCGAUAAUGUUUCUGGAUUGUACUCGAAAUGUCUGUUCACUUCUCGGAGCCGUCCUCAUUGCUUGCUACCGUGUUCUGCAGGAGAUGUAACCCAGAAAAGAUAGAUCUUUAAAGCCGAGU
Zootermopsis nevadensis is the source of this 686-nucleotide non-coding RNA. The record is from RefSeq and is a predicted model, not a curated record. NCBI's taxonomy places the organism in Eukaryota, Metazoa, Arthropoda, Insecta, Blattodea, Termopsidae.